Podospora fimiseda is the source of this 115-nucleotide non-coding RNA. The record is from the annotation of a GenBank genome assembly. NCBI's taxonomy places the organism in Eukaryota, Fungi, Ascomycota, Sordariomycetes, Sordariales, Podosporaceae.
GUCCCCGUAGCGUAGUGGUUAGCGUUUGUGUGCUUUAUAUUCUAGCGUUUGUAUAUUUACUUAGCGAAUUUGUAUAAGGUAGCGAAAAACGUCGGUUUGAAUCCGACCGGGGACA